CAGGCUCGUCCUCCUGGAGCUGCGGCGCUUCGUCCCAACUAAAGAUCAUCACUGAGAAGGCACAAGUGGUGCAGGCAUGAUGGUCGAAAGACUCGGUUUUGGAGAUGAUCGUAGUGUAGAAAAUGGUCUCAGAGUAAAAAUCGCACGUGCGAAUUCAGAAUUUGAGAGCUUUAGAACUCGGACUGCUCUGACUGGCUUUAGUGCUGUUGGAGGACGUGCUGAUUGACAGCUGGUUCCAGGCCGCUCAACAACUGGACAGGAAGUUCCAGCCCAGCGAGACAAUGACAGGAGAAAGGGAGGAGCCUGAUGACAUGAUGCUGGUGGAGAAAAAGCCUUUUCAGGUUUAUG
This is a long non-coding RNA of Ictalurus punctatus (channel catfish), 348 nucleotides long. NCBI's taxonomy places the organism in Eukaryota, Metazoa, Chordata, Actinopteri, Siluriformes, Ictaluridae. The record is from Ensembl.